This 657-nucleotide ribosomal RNA is filed under the name Triticum aestivum (bread wheat). Its description in RNAcentral is "partial small subunit ribosomal RNA". Lineage: Eukaryota; Viridiplantae; Streptophyta; Magnoliopsida; Poales; Poaceae. The record is from RNAcentral.
AUGCAUCUGCUCCACGGGUCUGCUAUGAUCGGUGGCAGCUGCGGCGGCAGAGCUCUCCGGCGAGUCGACAGCUCCCCGAAGCCGUCCUUGUGCCGGAGCGACGCCAUGAAGAAGAAGAGGAGCAAGAGGUCCAGGCUCUCGGCCGCGCUGCGGGAGCUCAGGCUGGCGGCCAAGGCGAGGGACAAGGAGGGGCUCCUUCAGAUCCUCGUCACCGGACACCGCACUAGCCGCGGAGGAUCCGGCAACGGCGAGCGCACCGGCGGACCAUCGACGGAGCGCGGUGUAGCUGAUACGGGCGACGACCAGCGCGCGACACUGCGGUGGCAGGGACGCGGCGUUGAUGCAGCCGGGCGUGCCGAUGGUCCUCUUCUUGAGUUGGGGAGACCGACAGCAACCAGGGGAGCCAGCUGCGGCGGCCGUCGUUGCCCGAGUUGGGCGCUGGCAGUGGCGCUUGUGCUCGCGCUGGUUUGCGUGGUAGCGCUCGGGACGGCGCCGGCCAUCUGUUGCUGCACCUGCGCGGCCUGGUUGUGCGGCGGCUGCGGCGCGCAGGAGCAUGCAUCUGACCGGCGGCGGGGCGGCUCCUGCCGUGGCAGCGUUAGAGUAAUACAGCCACAAGCCGGUAGUACACUGUAUCAUGCAGAGGUCACCAGUGGGUGA